This 442-nucleotide ribosomal RNA is filed under the name uncultured bacterium. Its description in RNAcentral is "partial 16S ribosomal RNA". It matches the Rfam family "Bacterial small subunit ribosomal RNA", at positions 338 to 795 of the family's 1533-position model. The record is from RNAcentral.
CCUACGGGUGGCAGCAGUGGGGGAUAUUGGACAAUGGGGGGAACCCUGAUCCAGCGACGCCGCGUGAGUGAAGAAGUAUCUCGGUAUGUAAAGCUCUAUCAGCAGGGAAGAAGGAAUGACGGUACCUGAGUAUGAAGCCCCGGCUAACUACGUGCCAGCAGCCGCGGUAAUACGUAGGGGGCCAGCGUUAUCCGGAAUAACUGGGGGUAAAGGGAGCGUAGACGGUGCUGUAAGUCUGACGUGAAAGGCGGGGGCCCAACCCCCGGACUGCUGUGGAUACUGGGUGACGUGAGUGCAGGAGAGGGGGGUAGAAUUCCAAGUGUAGCGGUGAAAUGCGUAGAUAUUAGGAGGAACACCGGUGGCGAAGGCGGCUCACUGGACUGUAACUGACGUUGAGGCUCGAAAGCGUGGGGAGCAAACAGGAUUAGAUACCCGGGUAGUC